GCAUAUAACUAAGCGGAGGAAAAGAAACUAACAAGGAUUCCCCUAGUAACGGCGAGUGAAGCGGGAAGAGCUCACAGUGAAAAUCGAGCCCUCGGGCCCGAAUUGUAGUCUGAAGAGGCGAGGCCCGCCACUGUCCGUGGCCAAGUCUGAUUGGAAAUGAGCAUCAUGGAGGGUGACAAUCCCGUUCAUGCCGCGGUAUCGAUCAGUGCGCAAAAGGCCCGUUUUCGACGAGUCGAGUUGCUUGGGAUUGCAGCUCAAAGCGGGUGGUAAACUCCAUCGAAAGCUAAAUAUGGGGGGGAGACCGAUAGCGAACAAGUACCGUGAGGGAAAGAUGCAAAGAACUUUGAAAAGAGAGUUAAAGAGUGCCUGAAAUUGCUGGAAGGGAAGCGAAGGAAAGAGGUGUGCGGUAGUCGGAGCGCCAACCCCCAUUUGCCUUCGUGGUGUGGGGGUAGGCCGCUUCGCCGCGGUCAGGGGCAGCGCCUGGGUCGCGUGAGGAUCCGCGCGGGAUCGGUAGCCCUCCCCUCUCGGGGAAGGUGUCAGGCCCGCGCGGCACCGCGUCGCGGCUUUUACCAGGCCCCCUUUUGUCUGGCGGUUGCUGCUUUUCUUCACCCCGUCUUGAAACACGGACCAAGGAGUCUAGCGUGGACGCGAGUAUAGGGGCGUGGAAACCCCCUUGCGCAGUGAAGGUGAACGCAGGUGGGAGGUCGCCCUUCUUUUUGUUAUGCGGCGGCCGGCACCAUCGACCGAGCGUGUCCCCCCGGGGGCAGGGCUUGAGUGUGAGCGUGCAUGCUGGGACCCGAAAGAUGGUGAACUAUGCUUGAAUAGGGCGAAGCCAGGGGAAACUCUGGUGGAGGCUCGUAGCGAUUCUGACGUGCAAAUCGAUCGUGAGAUUUGGGUAUAGGGGCGAAAGACUAAUCGAACCAUCUAGUAGCUGGUUCCCUCCGAAAUUUCCCUCAGGAUAGCAGCGGCUGUUGUCCCAGUUUUAUCAGGUAAAGCGAAUGAUUAGAGGCUGCGGGGGAGUAACUCCCUCGCCCUAUUCUCAAACUUUAAAUGGGUAAGGAGCCGGGGUCGCUUGGUUGGACCCUUCGGCAUGGAAUGGUUGGUCGUUAGUGGGCCAGUCCGGGUAAGCUGGACUGGCGAUGCGGGAUGAACCGAACGCCUAGAUAAAGCGCCUCACUGCCCGCUCACCUAGAUCCCACAAAAGGUGUUGGUU
Molecule: ribosomal RNA, 1213 nt
Filed under: Stypopodium hawaiiensis
Lineage: Eukaryota; Phaeophyceae; Dictyotales; Dictyotaceae
Description: eukaryotic LSU rRNA
Rfam family: Eukaryotic large subunit ribosomal RNA
Source: RNAcentral